RNAcentral lists this ribosomal RNA (1553 nucleotides) under Pattonomys semivillosus (Speckled spiny tree-rat). RNAcentral describes it as "16S ribosomal RNA". It matches the Rfam family "Bacterial large subunit ribosomal RNA". The record is from RNAcentral. Lineage: Eukaryota; Metazoa; Chordata; Mammalia; Rodentia; Echimyidae.
ACCAAAACUAGCCUAACCAUAUUCAUAACUCAAAUAUAAUGAAUAUAAUAAAACAAAACAUUUACCUUUAAAAGUAUAGGAGAUAGAAAUUUACUUAAGCGCUAUAGAAGUAGUACCGUAAGGGAAAGAUGAAAGAAUUAAUUAAAAGUACUAAAUAGCAUAGAUUAAACCUACUACCUUUUGCAUAAUGAAUUAACUAGAAAACCUUGACAAAAAGAACUUAAGUCAAAAACCCCGAAACCAAACGAGCUACUUUUGAACAGCUAACAAUUGAGCAAACUCGUCUAUGUGGCAAAAUAGUGAGAAGAUUUAAAAGUAGUGGUGAAAAGCCUAUCGAGUUUGGAGAUAGCUGGUUAUCCAAACAAGAAUUUAAGUUCAACUUUAAAUCUUUCCUAUAAAACCUAAAAUUUUAAUGAAGAUUUAAAUGUUAACUUAAGGAGGUACAGCUCCUUAAAUAAGGAUACUUCCUUAAAUAGAGGGUAAAUAAUAUAAUUAUCAUAGUAGGCCUAAAAGCAGCCAUCAAUUAAGAAAGCGUUCAAGCUCAACAAAAAAUCUCAAUUAUAUCCCAAAAACCACAAUCACCCCCUACAUAAAAAUUGGAUUAAUCUAUAUAAAUAGAAGAGAUAAUGUUAAUAUUAGUAACAAGAAGUAUUUCUCCUUGCACAAGCUUAAGUUAUAGGUAUAACCAAUUAACAAUUAUAUAAAAAAUUCACACAUUAGCCUAUUAUUAUAAAAAUUGUUAACCCAACCCAGGAGUGCAAUAAGGAAAGACUAAAACAAGUAAAAGGAACUCGGCAAACAUAAAUCCCGCCUGUUUACCAAAAACAUCACCUCUAGCAUUUCAAGUAUUAGAGGCACUGCCUGCCCAGUGACUAUUAAAGUUUAACGGCCGCGGUAUCCUGACCGUGCAAAGGUAGCAUAAUCACUUGUUCCUUAAAUAGGGACUUGUAUGAAUGGCUUGACGAGGAUUUAACUGUCUCUUACUUGCAGUCAGUGAAAUUGACAUUCCCGUGAAGAGGCGGGAAUAAAACAAUAAGACGAGAAGACCCUAUGGAGCUUUAAUUUAUUAACUCAUUUUACUAAACUAAAAUCAAUUAGAGAUAAAAAACAAAUUAUGAGUUAACAAUUUUGGUUGGGGUGACCUCGGAGUAAAAACCAACCUCCGAAUGAUAUUAAUUUAGAUUUACAAAUCAAAGUUUAAAUCAUAAAUUGACCCAGAAACAUCUGAUCAACGAACCAAGUUACCCUAGGGAUAACAGCGCAAUCCUAUUAAAGAGUUCAUAUCGACAAUAGGGUUUACGACCUCGAUGUUGGAUCAGGACCCCCAAAUGGUGCAACAGCUAUUAAAGGUUCGUUUGUUCAACGAUUAAAGUCCUACGUGAUCUGAGUUCAGACCGGAGUAAUCCAGGUCGGUUUCUAUCUAUUAAAAAUUUCUCCCAGUACGAAAGGACAAGAGAAAUCAGGCCAAUAAAAUAAUUAUGCCUUAAUAGCAAAAGAAUGAUAUAAUAUUAACUCUUUAGCUAUUAAUAAUCACAAACCCAAGAUAAGGGUUU